RNAcentral lists this ribosomal RNA (460 nucleotides) under uncultured bacterium. RNAcentral describes it as "partial 16S ribosomal RNA". It matches the Rfam family "Bacterial small subunit ribosomal RNA", at positions 338 to 795 of the family's 1533-position model. The record is from RNAcentral.
CCUACGGGUGGCAGCAGUGAGGAAUAUUGGUCAAUGGACGGAAGUCUGAACCAGCCAAGUCGCGUGCAGGACGACGGCCCUAUGGGUUGUAAACUGCUUUUGUACAGGGGUAAAACUUGCUACGUGUAUCCUGCUGCCUGUACCUUAUGAAUAAGGAUCGGCUAACUCCGUGCCAGCAGCCGCGGUAAUACGGAGGAUGCAAGCGUUAUCCGGAUUUAUUGGGUUUAAAGGGUGCGUAGGCGGUUUUUUAAGUUAGUGGUGAAACGUCCGGGCUUAACCCGGGAAUUGCCUCUAAUACUGUAAGACUAGAGUGUAGAUGAGGUAGGCGGAAUAAAUGGAGUAGCGGUGAAAUGCUUAGAGAUCAUACAGAACUCCGAUAGCGAAGGCAGCUUACCAGACUGUAACUGACGCUGAGGCACGAGAGUGUGGGGAGCAAACAGGAUUAGAUACCCGAGUAGUC